CCUACGGGAGGCAGCAGUGAGGAAUAUUGGUCAAUGGACGAGAGUCUGAACCAGCCAAGUAGCGUGAAGGAUGACUGCCCUAUGGGUUGUAAACUUCUUUUAUAUGGGAAUAAAAUGUUCCACGUGUGGGAUUUUGUAUGUACCAUAUGAAUAAGGAUCGGCUAACUCCGUGCCAGCAGCCGCGGUAAUACGUAGGGGGCAAGCGUUAUCCGGAUUUACUGGGUGUAAAGGGGGCGCAGACGGCGAUGCAAGCCAGGAGUGAAAGCCCGGGGCCCAACCCCGGGACUGCUCUUGGAACUGCGUGGCUGGAGUGCAGGAGGGGCAGGCGGAAUUCCUGGUGUAGCGGUGAAAUGCUUAGAUAUCACGAAGAACUCCGAUUGCGAAGGCAGCUUACUAAACUGCCACUGACAUUGAUGCUCGAAAGUGUGGGUAUCAAACAGGAUUAGAUACCCCAGUAGUC
Molecule: ribosomal RNA, 460 nt
Filed under: uncultured bacterium
Lineage: Bacteria
Description: partial 16S ribosomal RNA
Rfam family: Bacterial small subunit ribosomal RNA
Source: RNAcentral